UCGCGCCUGUCCCGCCGGACUCGUGCCUCUUCUGAGCCGCAGCCCCAGCCCCAGCCCGAAUCUCAAUCUCUGCGGCCGGCAGAGGAUGGAAGCCAGGAAGCCGAUUAGAAAGGAAGGUGAAGGAAACAAGAGUCAGAUAGUGGAAAGUGGGAGCUAAGGGAAGAGGUGGGCACGCCCGGGAAGGAAGGAGGGAAAAGGAAACUAGUGGGGGCAGGGGGGAAGAAAGGAGAAAGUCCGAAGUAAGCAUCCAGGUCCCAAAGCACAGCUCAGUGACCCCCGCUGCAAGUAGUAUUAAUGACACUUAAGCCCAGUUACGUGGAACCUGAGCCACCCGGCCUCAAAUACACGGGUUUCUGAACUGUUGGAGUGUGAGCGAGCAGGUGCCUGAAGCUCCAUACCUGAGACCGCCCCUGUUAACAGCUGUUUCAACCCGUUACUACACUUCAAUCCUCCCACUCCAACCUCUUCAUCUUUUAAUCAUUUCGGAAAAUGAAGCUUCCUACUUCACAACAAAAAAAAAGACUUUCAGAAGUACCAAUCACAACAGCUUGAAAAUUUGAAAACCUGAUCCUUCACCACAGGUGCUUUUGCUUGCAAGGUCAAAAUCGGAAGUUCAGGAAGAUCACCUGAAUCCAGAGCUUUUGAUUUCAGAAGCCUAGGUUCAUUGAGGAAAAGUAUGCUGACUUGUCCCAGAGGGUUAACAGGUGAAUGCUUUUGAGUAGAGGUGGGAGAAGCUGUCUGACAUAGAAGUUGAGCUUCUCCGGUACCAGAGAGGAGAUGGGAGUAAUGGUAGAUUCCAUGAGCAUCAAGGACUACUUUUGCUGCCUUUUAGUGUCCUAAAGAAGAUACAAGAUCUCAAGAGAGAAUGGAGACAUGGUACACUUAAGAAAGUCUGAAUACUAGUCCAUGAGGAUGCCAACCUCAGCCAAAACACCCCACUAUCACCACCAAUGUGCAAGGGUGGCACAGAAGCAGCUACCCUGUCUAACUUUAAGGGGAUUUGCCUGACAAACAUAUCAACAAUAUUGGGUAUGCACAAAAGGGCAUAGGGCCUACACUGAAAGUUAUGUUCUGGAUAUCAUUUGCUAGGGUCUUCAUACAACCUUGACAAAGGGAGAUAAAAACCAUGAGUGAGAUGGAAUUUUUAGCCAGCUAGAAAGGUGAAAGUUUCCGAGCAGAUUGUUGUAGGGAUAUAAAGAAAUGUGACAUUUUUUGCCAGUUAAAAUGGCGAUCAUAAAAAAGUCAGGAAACAACAGGUGCUGGAGAGGAUGUGGAGAAAUAGGAACACCAGCAAUCC
Long non-coding RNA from Cercocebus atys (sooty mangabey), 1297 nucleotides. RefSeq lists it as uncharacterized. The record is from RefSeq and is a predicted model, not a curated record. NCBI's taxonomy places the organism in Eukaryota, Metazoa, Chordata, Mammalia, Primates, Cercopithecidae. The transcript has 4 exons.